This 1009-nucleotide long non-coding RNA is filed under the name Olea europaea (common olive). Its description in RNAcentral is "long non-coding RNA (OEUR_LNC002071)". The record is from RNAcentral. Lineage: Eukaryota; Viridiplantae; Streptophyta; Magnoliopsida; Lamiales; Oleaceae.
AGCUAUAUAUUAUAUGAAUUCAACCGCCGAAAUCGGUUGAACCGUGACUAGUUUGGACGGUUUAUAAUAUGUGAAAAUUACAGGGAGCCCUACUUUUAAAGAUUACAUAUCAAAAAUCAGAAUUAUAGUUUAUAUAUAUACAAAAAUCAAAGCAUUACAAUAUUUUAAUAUUAAAUGAAAAUAUUAUAAAAUUCAAUUAAUUAUAUAUCCAAAUCCCAAACCCUAAUAUUCAUUUCCUUCUUCAUUUUCAAUCUAUUUUCUCUCUACGCUACCUCAUCUCCUCUCUACCUCACCAGUCACCACCAUCGCCAAAUGUUGGAAAAGCACUGCACGAAGUCGUGCAUCGCCGCAAAUGGGGCUUCUCUACAUAGUUGUCUAGCAUAGAAGCGGCUCGCAGCGUCACGAGCCUUCUCAGCUGUAGCGCCGCCCGCAACGGAUGUCGUGCGUUGAGGUGCCUCGCACAGUGAAUGGUGGCGGCGAUGGUUUACAUGUUUUGGCUAUGGUUUUUAUUGGUGGAGAUGGUGGUGUAUCUGGCACUAGAUGUGGGUUUUGUUGGAUCGACAGUGGGUCUAGUGGGAUGGAUCUAACGUUGGUGUUGUUGGAUUUGGUGGUGGCGUCUGUGAUUUUGUUAGAUAUGGUGGUGUUUUUUGUUGAUACAAGCAAUGGUGGUGGUGUUGCUCAGCGGCAGAUUUGGAACUUUCUUUUUUUUUUUUGGGUUGUGAAUGUGGAUUGGUAGGCUAGUGGUGGUAGUGGCAGUAGUGGUGUGACUGUAUCAUUGGUGGUGGUGGACUUAGGUAAGGAUAAGGUUGGGAAUGGAGAGAGUUUGUAAUUAAUUAUUUGGUGGAUAAUAAUCAUAAAAAAUUUGAGACCAAUAAUUUUGUUGAUUGUGACCAAUAAAUUGGUUAAUUUGCAAUCAAUUAAUAAUAUGUGAUUCAAAAAAUAUGAUUGUGACUUACAAUUUACUUAAAGUUGUGAUUGAUUCAUUUGAUAAUUUUGAUCGUUAAAUAAG